UAUUCAUUUCAGCUGCAGACCCGUUUGAGAAAAAGUGGGGAUAGAGGCCAGAUGUGCAUUGUUGUCCUGUGUAGAAUUGUCAUAGACAUUGUCAUAGAUCAGUGGAGCACAUGCAUUCUAACCCAUUUUAGGGUUAGAUCAAGUCAAGAGAUUUAUUAUAAUGUACUUGUUCAAGUAGUUCAGAAAGUUCAAUACUCAAUUUAAUGACCAUAAUACAAUUAACACUAUAAAAAAAUGUAUGAAAAAAUAUAUUUGUAGUCCCCUUGCUCACAAAAAAUAAUUGGCACUGCCAUCAUCAGGUGUGCACUGGAGAAGUUGUCUCCACUAUGUGGCACUGUAGGAACACUUUUGUUAGAACGUAGUCUACGUUCUAAUAAAAACACAAAAAAGUUUUGCUUGGAAACGAACAUUCUGUUCUGUGUUAUCUAACAAUCAAAAACUCAGCUAAUGUGCUUCAUCAAGACAGCAUUUAUAAGGUUUGAUCAGAUUUGAUUGAUGGUUGCCUAGCAACAUAAACAACAACAUCUUAAUUAGUAAGUGGACACACUACUUUGUAUGUCAUACAGUGACAGCAAAUGCAGAAAUGUGAAAUAACCACAAUUGUUCUAACUUUUGUGGAAAAUUGCAUGACACUCCAUCGGCAGAUCAGGGAAGUUUCAAAAAUCAAGAACUGCAAGAAUUAAGAUUCAAUCAUAAACAACAACACCCUGGACUGAGAAACACUUGUUUUCAUUGAAACUACAUGUAAUGCUACAGCUAUCUUGUGAGCUACUACCUCAGACAGUACUACAAUAUCUUGUUCAGUCAGCAUGAAGCGCCGAAACAGGAAAAGAAACAAGAGAAAGCAUUAUGAUCACGCUGGCAAAAAACACAAGCCACAAUCACACAGGCCAACUAACGAUGCAGCUGAAGUGACACGAAUUAGACAAGCUCUCAAAUCAGCUAAGAGGACCAACCGGCGGCUGGCCUCCUUUGAGAAGCAGGUUUGGAGAUACAUACAAUUGGAGAUAUGUUGGAACCAGGAGAGGUGUCAACUCAUCUAUGAAAACAGGUGCCUUCAGAGGACGCUCGGGACGAAAUACAACCACGCUAAAAAGGAGAUUAGUAGGUUGCAGGGGGUGUUGAUGGAAACCAAAAGAGCUCACUGGCAGAAAGAGAAUGAAAGGCACCAAGCUGACUUGAAUAAUACGCUACAUGAAAUCAAGGUGGAGGGGAAAGAUGUCGCCUUAAAGACGGAAAAAACAACGCCAGCCAAAGUCCAGGAGUAGCAUGUGAUGAUAAAAAGGAGAAGCACUGCAGCCUCACGUCAAAGUAAAUCAUAAUAUUUGACACUGAAGUACUGUUGGUUAAA
This is a long non-coding RNA of Acanthopagrus latus (yellowfin seabream), 1351 nucleotides long. RefSeq lists it as uncharacterized. Lineage: Eukaryota; Metazoa; Chordata; Actinopteri; Spariformes; Sparidae. The record is from RefSeq and is a predicted model, not a curated record. The transcript has 3 exons.